UACGGAGGGGGCCAGCGUUGUUCGGAAUCAUUGGGCGUAAAGGGCGCGUAGGCGGCACGGCAAGUCAGGAGUGAAAGGCCUGGGCUCAACCGAGGAACUGCUUUUGAGACUGCCGAGCUAGAGUGCAGAAGGGGCAACUGGAAUUCCCAGUGUAGCGGUGAAAUGCGUAGAUAUUGGGAAGAACACCUGAGGCGAAGGCGGGUUGCUGGGCUGACACUGACGCUGAGGCGCGAAAGCCAGGGGAGCAAACGGG
RNAcentral lists this ribosomal RNA (253 nucleotides) under uncultured bacterium. RNAcentral describes it as "partial 16S ribosomal RNA". It matches the Rfam family "Bacterial small subunit ribosomal RNA", at positions 524 to 776 of the family's 1533-position model. The record is from RNAcentral.